CGCCAGACUCCUACGGGAGGCAGCAGUGAGGAAUAUUGGUCAAUGGGCGCGAGCCUGAACCAGUCAAGUCGCGUGAGGGAUGACGGCCCUACGGGUUGUAAACCUCUUUUGUCGGGGAGCAAAUUCCGCCACGCGUGGCGGAGUCGAGAGUACCCGAAGAAAAAGCAUCGGCUAACUCCGUGCCAGCAGCCGCGGUAAUACGGAGGAUGCGAGCGUUAUCCGGAUUUAUUGGGUUUAAAGGGUGCGUAGGCGGGCUUUUAAGUCAGCGGUAAAAAUUCGGGGCUCAACCCCGUCCGGCCGUUGAAACUGGGGGCCUUGAGUGGGCGAGAAGUAUGCGGAAUGCGUGGUGUAGCGGUGAAAUGCAUAGAUAUCACGCAGAACUCCGAUUGCGAAGGCAGCGUACCGGCGCCCAACUGACGCUGAAGCACGAAGGCGUGGGUAUCGAACAGGAUUAGAUACCCUCGUA
This 466-nucleotide ribosomal RNA is filed under the name uncultured bacterium. Its description in RNAcentral is "bacterial SSU rRNA". It matches the Rfam family "Bacterial small subunit ribosomal RNA", at positions 329 to 792 of the family's 1533-position model. The record is from RNAcentral.